Molecule: unclassified non-coding RNA, 408 nt
Filed under: soil metagenome
Description: partial contains 5.8S ribosomal RNA, internal transcribed spacer 2, and large subunit ribosomal RNA
Rfam family: 5.8S ribosomal RNA (bases 1-120)
Source: RNAcentral
GAUGAAGAACGUAGCAAAAUGCGAUAAGUAAUGUGAAUUGCAGAAUUCAGUGAAUCAUCGAAUCUUUGAACGCACCUUGCGCUCCUUGGCAUUCCGAGGAGCAUGCCUGUUUGAGUGUCAUUAAAUUCUCAAGACCUGUCUGCUUUUUUGAUAGGUAUUGGAUUUUGGGGGUUGCAGGCUGUUUCAAAUAAAUAGCCUUGCUCUCCUUGAAUGUAUUAGUGGAGAAAAGCCAUUGAACUCCAUUGGUGUGAUAAAACCUUUCAAUGCCAGGAGCAAUAUCACUACUUCUCUCUGCUGUCUAACUGUGACUGUCUGUAUUAAUUAGUAUGGAUGGGGACAACUUGACCAACUUGACCUCAAAUCAGGUAGGACUACCCGCUGAACUUAAGCAUAUCAAUAAGCGGAGGA